This 497-nucleotide ribosomal RNA is filed under the name uncultured bacterium. Its description in RNAcentral is "partial 16S ribosomal RNA". It matches the Rfam family "Bacterial small subunit ribosomal RNA", at positions 28 to 507 of the family's 1533-position model. The record is from RNAcentral.
GAUGAACGCUGGCGGCGUGCCUAAUACAUGCAAGUCGAGCGAACGGACGAGAAGCUUGCUUCUCUGAUGUUAGCGGCGGACGGGUGAGUAACACGUGGAUAACCUACCUAUAAGACUGGGAUAACUUCGGGAAACCGUAGCUAAUACCGGAUAAUAUUUUGAACCGCAUGGUUCAAAAGUGAAAGACGGUCUUGCUGUCACUUAUAGAUGGAUCCGCGCUGCAUUAGCUAGUUGGUAAGGUAACGGCUUACCAAGGCAACGAUGCAUAGCCGGCCUGAGGGGGUGAUCGGCCACACUGGAACUGAGACACGGUCCAGACUCCUACGGGAGGCAGCAGUAGGGAAUCUUCCGCAAUGGGCGAAAGCCUGACGGAGCAACGCCGCGUGAGUGAUGAAGGUCUUCGGAUCGUAAAACUCUGUUAUUAGGGAAGAACAUAUGUGUAAGUAACUGUGCACAGCUUGACGGUACCUAAUCAGAAAGCCACGGCUAACUACGUG